Molecule: ribosomal RNA, 253 nt
Filed under: uncultured bacterium
Lineage: Bacteria
Description: partial 16S ribosomal RNA
Rfam family: Bacterial small subunit ribosomal RNA
Source: RNAcentral
UACAGAGGGGGCAAGCGUUGUUCGGAAUUACUGGGCGUAAAGGGCGCGUAGGCGGCCCGCUAAGUCGAACGUGAAAUCCCCGAGCUCAACUCGGGAACUGCGUCCGAUACUGGCGGGCUUGAAUCCGGGAGAGGGAUGCGGAAUUCCAGGUGUAGCGGUGAAAUGCGUAGAUAUCAGGAGGAACACCGAUGGCGAAGGCAGGUCUCUGGGCCGAUACUGACGCUGAGGAGCGAAAGCGUGGGGAGCGAACAGG